GAUGAACGCUAGCGGCAGGCUUAAUACAUGCAAGUCGUGGGGCAGCAUGAGUAGCAAUACUUGAUGGCGACCGGCAAACGGGUGAGGAACACGUACACAACCUUCCUUCAAGCGGGGAAUAGCCCAGAGAAAUUUGGAUUAAUACCCCAUAAUAUAUUUGAUAAGGCAUCUUAUUAAUAUUAAAGCUUCGGCACUUGAUGAUGGGUGUGCGGCUGAUUAGAUAGUUGGCGGGUAACGGCCCACCAAGUCUACGAUCAGUAGCUGAUGUGAGAGCAUGAUCAGCCACACGGGCACUGAGACACGGGCCCGACUCCUACGGGAGGCAGCAGUAAGGAAUAUUGGACAAUGGACGGAAAG
RNAcentral lists this ribosomal RNA (357 nucleotides) under uncultured bacterium. RNAcentral describes it as "bacterial SSU rRNA". It matches the Rfam family "Bacterial small subunit ribosomal RNA", at positions 28 to 381 of the family's 1533-position model. The record is from RNAcentral.